CCAAUAGCGUAUAUUAAAGUUGUUGCAGUUAAAAAGCUCGUAGUUGAACUUCGGGGUUCCCCCAUUGGUCAGGCUUAACGGUCUGUACUGGUGGGAGGGAUUCUUACCUUCUGAGGAAUCUCCAUGCCAUUAAUUUGGUGUGGUGGGGAAUCAGGGCUAUUACUUUGAAAAAAUUAGAGUGUUUAAAGCAGGCUAACGUCUGAAUACAUUAGCAUGGAAUAAUGAAAUAGGACGGCUUGGUUCUAUUUUGUUGGUUUCUAGGAUCACCGUAAUGAUUAAUAGGGAUAGUUGGGGGCAUUAGUAUUCAAUUGUCAGAGGUGAAAUUCUUGGAUUUAUUGAAGACUAACUACUGCGAAAGCAUUUGCCAAGGAUGUUUUCAUUAAUCAAGAACGAAAGUUAGGGGAUCGAAGACGAUCAGAUACCGUCGUAGUCUUAACCAUAAACUAUGCCGACUAGGGAUCGGACGAAGUUAAUUUUUAAAUGACUCGUUCGGCACCUUACG
Molecule: ribosomal RNA, 502 nt
Filed under: uncultured Glomeromycotina
Lineage: Eukaryota; Fungi; Glomeromycota
Description: partial small subunit ribosomal RNA
Rfam family: Eukaryotic small subunit ribosomal RNA
Source: RNAcentral